GUACCUUUUAAAAUUAAUGUUGAAAGAUAGGUCAACAGAAUCAAUAAUAAUAAUGGCUUAAUCAUGGUCCAAACUCUAAAAAAGUAAUAGAGAUAAGACAAUGUCAUCAAGAUCGAUGAUGAACCACAUGAAAAACUCAGCAUACACAAUCAUCCCUCAAACCUAAGCCUCAAAGAUAGAAUAGGGAUUAUGCGAUAUAGAAGGAGACAG
This 210-nucleotide long non-coding RNA is filed under the name Elaeis guineensis (African oil palm). RNAcentral describes it as "long non-coding RNA (EGUI_LNC008953)". The record is from RNAcentral. Lineage: Eukaryota; Viridiplantae; Streptophyta; Magnoliopsida; Arecales; Arecaceae.